This is a long non-coding RNA of Orbicella faveolata, 295 nucleotides long. Lineage: Eukaryota; Metazoa; Cnidaria; Anthozoa; Scleractinia; Merulinidae. The record is from RefSeq and is a predicted model, not a curated record.
AUUGGAUAUUGAUGAGAACAGCCAAAAUAUCCUUAAUAAAAUUAAAGAUACAAGCAGUCAACUACCUGAAGUUCCAGUGAAGCCUCAAGCAAUCGUUAACCCCAAGAGUAAUGUCCAUGUAGCCCCAGUGUUGAAGAAAAAGACUUCUUUCAAAGGCUCAUUUCUGAAGCACAGCAAAACUACUCUUUCUCGCCUGUCUUCUCUCACAUCCAAUACACCAAAUGCCUCAGCUACCACAAGAGGAUUUGUGUUUCAGACUGUUUCACCAUCAAACAAGAAUAACUCGAACACCAAG